RNAcentral lists this unclassified non-coding RNA (378 nucleotides) under uncultured Alphaproteobacteria bacterium. Its description in RNAcentral is "contains 16S-23S intergenic spacer region". The record is from RNAcentral. Lineage: Bacteria; Pseudomonadati; Pseudomonadota; Alphaproteobacteria.
UCCGGCUUGGCACCGGCAGUUUCCUUAAAGUGCUCAGCUUAACCUGUUAGCAACCAAGGAUGGGGGUUGCGCUCGUUGCGGGACUUAACCCAACAUCUCACGACACGAGCUGACGACAGCCAUGCAGCACCUGUGCGGGAUCCGGCCGAACCGACAAGACCAUCUCUGGUCCCUUUAAUCCCCAUGUCAAGAGCUGGUAAGGUUCUGCGCGUUGCGUCGAAUUAAACCACAUACUCCACCGCUUGUGCGGGUCCCCGUCAAUUCCUUUAAGUUUUAAUCUUGCGACCGUACUCCCCAGGCGGAAUGCUUAUCGUGUUAACUAAGAUACUGAGCUUUUACACCCAACAUCUAGCAUUCAUCGUUUACAGCGUGGACUAC